Molecule: ribosomal RNA, 493 nt
Filed under: uncultured bacterium
Lineage: Bacteria
Description: partial 16S ribosomal RNA
Rfam family: Bacterial small subunit ribosomal RNA
Source: RNAcentral
ACGAACGCUGGCGGCGUGCUUAACACCUGCAAGUCGAACGGUGAAGCGCCUUCCUUUUUGGUGGGUGUGGAUGAGUGGCGAACGGGUGAGUAACACGUGAGUAACCUGCCCCCUUCUUCUGGAUAACCGCAUGAAAGUGUGGCUAAUACGGGAUAUUCUGGGUCUGUCGCAUGAUGGGUCUGGGAAAGAUAUUGUUUCGGUGGGGGAUGGGCUCGCGGCCUAUCAGCUUGUUGGUGGGGUGAUGGCCUACCAAGGCGGUGACGGGUAGCCGGCCUGAGAGGGUGGACGGUCACACUGGGACUGAGACACGGCCCAGACUCCUACGGGAGGCAGCAGUGGGGAAUAUUGCACAAUGGGCGCAAGCCUGAUGCAGCGACGCCGCGUGAGGGAUGGAGGCCUUCGGGUUGUGAACCUCUUUCGCCAGUGAAGCAGGCCUGCCUCGUUUGUGGGUGGGUUGACGGUAGCUGGAGAAGAAGCGCCGGCUAACUACGUG